Molecule: long non-coding RNA, 333 nt
Organism: Gallus gallus (chicken)
Lineage: Eukaryota; Metazoa; Chordata; Aves; Galliformes; Phasianidae
Source: Ensembl
CUCAGCGCUGCCCCUCCGCUCCCUGUGAGGAGCUGCAGCCGCCAUGAGGCCUCCCCUCAGCUCCUCUGCUCUGGGCUGAGGAAACCCAGGGGCCUCAGCUGCUCUUCGAUUUUUGCAAAGAGCUCAUCUGAGGAAGAGGGAAACACCCCCAGAACUUCAAAAAGGGUACACAGGCAUCCUGCAGUUGCACACUGAAGCACAAAUGACAAGAAACCCUGUUUGCCAUGCCACUGAAGGCAUUUAGAAACUGAGCAUAAUCUGUUUUACCUAUAUGGCUGUGCUCAAGCAGAUCAGCAUCGUGCUGGCAGGACCAAGAUCCGCAGCAUCGUCUUG